ACAGUAAUAAAGGCUAUGUUGAUUAGCAUUAGAAUAUAAAUAAGCGUUAUUAUUUGGAAAAUACCAGAGAUGGCUUGAAGAACAAAUAUAAACCGUAUAUUGUCACGUCGUAUGUUUACUGUUCUAUACUGUUGGAUAUUUAAAUAAUUAACCAGACCGCGAACAGAUAAAAUCAGCCACGUAAUGUUGUUCAUAAAUGACAGGAUUCAUAUGUCUAUUAAAGCCCUGAUCACACUGUAACAUUCAGUUCUGCUGCUGCUGACCAGAGAGAGCAGUUUACGUACAUGAAACAUCUUUACGAAGUAUUUGAAGAAUUGUAUUGUUAUUUCUGUUACAGACAUUCAAAUAAACACAGAAGUACUGAAAUAAAACCAAAGUAGUUCGGAUAUAAACACUACAGAACUGAUCAAAAUAGAUUACACCUUUUUAAAGUUUUAAAGCUUCAAAUAGUUUGUAUCAAUUACAACGUAUUGCCAUUUUUCUGAUUUCUCUAGUGGAACGCGGCCCACUUGGAUGUGAUGUUAUUCCCAGCCUGGACAUCUGGUUUCCAAGUUGGAUCAACAGUCGAAUGGAUCAAGUGAUUCCAUGCUCUCAGCUGGGUCCAGGGAUGCCAUGUCUCCAUCAGGUGAUUCCCCACUCUGGCCAGGAUCUAGGGAUGCUGCAGCUUGAAUUGGAUCAAGUGAUUCCCCACUCUGGCCAGGAUCUAGGGAUGCCCCAUUCUGCAGUAGAUUCAGCGAUCCCUCACUUUUAGUUGGUUUACUAGGUCAUCAGGGUCGCCUGCAUAAAAAUGGGCUGGGACAGCAUAGUCGUCCAGCCUACUGUCGAGAAGGAUGAGCUUGUCAUUUUUUUCUGACACCCCAAUUAUCUCAAGUUCUUCCUCCUGGAUCUGCCGUGAAAAAUCGUGUACUGUGGAACCACAUUUAAUCCGCAGAUCCAGGAUGGGCACCUGUCCUCUGGUCAUCCUGGCGACUUCAACCUGGAAAAUGACACACAGUCGAGGACAAUACAGGUCUCUGAUUGUGAUAGAGGGGUGAUGAGCCAGGUGCACAUUGGGCAGUACAUUGGAUGCCUCCCGGAAUUUUUUUUAAUUUUUUUUAUUAAUUUGAUGCAUUUAUUAUUUUUUAUGACAUAUUAUAAUGUAUUAUUUAAAUAACUUAAUGAAUUUAUUUAUUUGUAAAUUAAUUUAUUACUUAUGAAAUAUUUCUAUUAUAAUAAUGCAUGUAUUUAAAUUUGUAAAAUGAACAUUUUUAUAAUGAACUUGUUUAUGAAUUUACUUUAUUUCUAAAUGAAGUUGUUUUUGAUGAAUUAACUUUAUUAUAAUAAUGUAUGUAUUAAAAUUUACUUUUUCCCAAUAAAACCUAACUUACUCUGGGCGGUUACUAGGGU
This is a long non-coding RNA of Cyprinus carpio (common carp), 1386 nucleotides long. NCBI's taxonomy places the organism in Eukaryota, Metazoa, Chordata, Actinopteri, Cypriniformes, Cyprinidae. The record is from Ensembl.